CUCAGGUGAAUAUGAUGCUUGUGAUGUUACUCUGAGUGUAUAUCAAGCUUGUCCGGUGUUGAUAUACACUCAGAGUAACAUCACAAGCAUCAUAUUCA
Molecule: microRNA precursor, 98 nt
Filed under: Paramuricea clavata
Lineage: Eukaryota; Metazoa; Cnidaria; Anthozoa; Malacalcyonacea; Plexauridae
Source: RNAcentral